GACGAACGCUGGCGGCGUGCUUAACACAUGCAAGUCGAACGAUGAAGCGGUGCUUGCACCGUGGAUUAGUGGCGAACGGGUGAGUAAUACGUGAGUGACCUACCUUUGACUCUGGGAUAAGCCUGGGAAACUGGGUCUAAUACCGGAUACGACCAAUCUCUGCAUGGGGUGUUGGUGGAAAGCGUUAUGGAGUGGUUUUAGAUGGGCUCACGGCCUAUCAGCUUGUUGGUGAGGUAAUGGCUUACCAAGGCGACGACGGGUAGCCGGCCUGAGAGGGUGACCGGCCACACUGGGACUGAGACACGACCCAGACUCCUACGGGAGGCAGCAGUGGGGAAUAUUGCACAAUGGGCGCAAGCCUGAUGCAGCGACGCCGCGUGAGGGAUGACGGCCUUCGGGUUGUAAACCUCUGUUAGCAUCGAAGAAGCGAAAGUGACGGUAGGUGCAGAGAAAGCGCCGGCUAACUACGUG
RNAcentral lists this ribosomal RNA (471 nucleotides) under uncultured bacterium. RNAcentral describes it as "partial 16S ribosomal RNA". It matches the Rfam family "Bacterial small subunit ribosomal RNA", at positions 28 to 507 of the family's 1533-position model. The record is from RNAcentral.